CAUUCACCCUACCUAACAGUUGGCUAGCUCCGCUGACUGAAAGGUCAUCACAUGUUGUUUGACCUCUCUCCAUUCAUUUCUCCAUUCAUUGUCUCUCAGGUCAUAAUUGCAGUUUGUGGUGUUUUCAAAGUAAAAGGUGUGAUCAGAUGAGUUUUCCUGCACCUGAAUCUCGAGUAGAUCAUGCACAGAGCUUGGAGAGGAAAGGAAGAGAACCAGACCACAUGCUGAUUGGACGCUGCGGUGAUCCAAACUGAGUGGUGAGUUAAAACUGUUAAAUUCUCCUCCCGCUGAAUCAAACAGUUUCUCCGUCUCUCCAUGUGAACUAAUUUUCUGUCAUGUCUUCAUGUCACACAAAGCCUCCGUCAGAAUCUUUCUCCCUCCGGGCCUGCUCCCCGCUCUGACCUCCUCCAUCAUCUGCGGCCGAGAAUGACUUUGAUUCCUUCUUCACGGCCUCGUCUCAUCCGUCUCCCGCAGCUCUCUAUUGUCUGCGGCUGCAACAAAAUGACAGUGAUACAUACGGCACAUUACAGAGACAAAAGGUCGACAAGACCCAGUUUGUGUUUGCAUAAAAAAAAGUGGUAUAAAAAAUUCACAGAGCUGGGGAUUCGUCGGCCCCCUCGUUUAGAGACCGGAGCGGCUGAGGU
Non-coding RNA from Xyrichtys novacula (pearly razorfish), 644 nucleotides. The record is from the annotation of a GenBank genome assembly. NCBI's taxonomy places the organism in Eukaryota, Metazoa, Chordata, Actinopteri, Labriformes, Labridae.